RNAcentral lists this ribosomal RNA (488 nucleotides) under uncultured bacterium. Its description in RNAcentral is "partial 16S ribosomal RNA". It matches the Rfam family "Bacterial small subunit ribosomal RNA", at positions 28 to 507 of the family's 1533-position model. The record is from RNAcentral.
GACGAACGCUGGCGGCGUGCUUAACACAUGCAAGUCGAACGGAAAGGCCCUGCUUUUGUGGGGUGCUCGAGUGGCGAACGGGUGAGUAACACGUGAGUAACCUGCCCUUGACUUUGGGAUAACUUCAGGAAACUGGGGCUAAUACCGGAUAGGAGCUCCUGCUGCAUGGUGGGGGUUGGAAAGUUUCGGCGGUUGGGGAUGGACUCGCGGCGUAUCAGCUUGUUGGUGAGGUAGUGGCUUACCAAGGCUACGAUGGGUAGCCGGCCUGAGAGGGUGACCGGCCACAGUGGAACUGAGACACGGUCCAGACUCAUACGGGAGGCAGCAGUAGGGAAUCUUCCGCAAUGGGCGACAGCCUGACGGAGCAACGCCGCGUGAGUGAUGAAGGUCUUCGGAGCGUAAAACUCUGUUAUUAGGGAAGAAAAUAUGUGUAAGUAACUGUGCACAGCUGGACGGUACCUAAUCAGAAAGCCACGGCUAACUACGUG